CUCAGGUUGGCGAGUCCCAAAUAGGACGAAAUGCGCAUCCUGGAU
This is a non-coding RNA of Trichobilharzia regenti, 45 nucleotides long. Lineage: Eukaryota; Metazoa; Platyhelminthes; Trematoda; Strigeidida; Schistosomatidae. The record is from Rfam.